Molecule: ribosomal RNA, 496 nt
Filed under: uncultured bacterium
Lineage: Bacteria
Description: partial 16S ribosomal RNA
Rfam family: Bacterial small subunit ribosomal RNA
Source: RNAcentral
GAUGAACGCUGGCGGCGUGCCUAAUACAUGCAAGUCGAGCGAACAGACGAGGAGCUUGCUCCUCUGACGUUAGCGGCGGACGGGUGAGUAACACGUGGAUAACCUACCUAUAAGACUGGGAUAACUUCGGGAAACCGGAGCUAAUACCGGAUAAUAUAUUGAACCGCAUGGUUCAAUAGUGAAAGACGGUUUUGCUGUCACUUAUAGAUGGAUCCGCGCCGCAUUAGCUAGUUGGUAAGGUAACGGCUUACCAAGGCAACGAUGCGUAGCCGACCUGAGAGGGUAAUCGGCCACACGGGAAGUGAGACACGGUCCAGACUCCUACGGGAGGCAGCAGUAGGGAAUCUUCCGCAAUGGGCGAAAGCCUGACGGAGCAACGCCGCGUGAGUGAUGAAGGUCUUCGGAUCGUAAAACUCUGUUAUUAGGGAAGAACAAAGGUGUAAGUAACUAUGCACGUCUUGACGGUACCUAAUCAGAAAGCCACGGCUAACUACGG